CAAAAACAUCGCCUCUUGAACAUAUUAACAUAAGAGGUCCCGCCUGCCCGGUGACUAUAAGUUUAACGGCCGCGGUAUUUUGACCGUGCAAAGGUAGCGCAAUCACUUGUCUUUUAAAUGAAGACCUGUAUGAAUGGCAUCACGAGGGCUUAACUGUCUCCUUUCCCCUGUCAAUGAAAUUGAUCCCCCCGUGCAGAAGCGGGGAUAACUACAUAAGACGAGAAGACCCUAUGGAGCUUUAGGCUCCAGAACAGACUAUGUAAAACACCCUUGCAUAAAAAACAGAACCUAUUAGACCCUGUUCUACUAUGCCUUUGGUUGGGGCGACCGCGGGGAAAUACACAACCCCCAUGUGGAUUAGGAGCACAAUCCUCCCACAACCUAGAGCCACAGCUCUAAGUAACAAAAUGUUUGACCAACAAAUGAUCCGGCACAGCCGAUCAACGGACCGAGUUACCCUAGGGAUAACAGCGCAAUCCCCUUCUAGAGUCCCUAUCGACAAGGGGGUUUACGACCUCGAUGUUGGAUCAGGACAUCCUAUUGGUGCAGCCGCUAUUAAGGGUUCGUUUGUUCAACGAUUAAAGUCCUACGUGAUCUGAGUU
This 602-nucleotide ribosomal RNA is filed under the name Tahuantinsuyoa macantzatza (Inca stone fish). RNAcentral's name for it is "partial 16S ribosomal RNA". It matches the Rfam family "Bacterial large subunit ribosomal RNA", at positions 1808 to 2611 of the family's 2925-position model. Lineage: Eukaryota; Metazoa; Chordata; Actinopteri; Cichliformes; Cichlidae. The record is from RNAcentral.